GACGAACGCUGGCGGCGUGCUUAACACAUGCAAGUCGAGCGGUAAGGCCCUUCGGGUACGACGAGCGGCGAACGGGUGAGUAACACGUGGGUGACCUGCCUCUAGCUCUGGGAUAAGCCUGGGAAACUGGGUCUAAUACCGGAUAUGACUCCACGGCGCAUGUUGUGGGGUGGAAAGCCUUGUGUGGCUAGAGAUGGGCCCGCGGCCUAUCAGCUUGUUGGUGGGGUGAUGGCCACCAAGGCGACGACGGGUAGCCGGCCUGAGAGGGCGACCGGCCGACACUGGGACUGAGGACACGGCCCAGACUCCUACGGGAGGCAGCAGUGGGAAGUCUUGCGCAAUGGGCGAAAGCCUGACGCAGCGACGCCGCGUGAGGGAUGACGGCCUCGGUUGUAACCGUACUU
RNAcentral lists this ribosomal RNA (404 nucleotides) under uncultured bacterium. RNAcentral describes it as "bacterial SSU rRNA". It matches the Rfam family "Bacterial small subunit ribosomal RNA", at positions 28 to 436 of the family's 1533-position model. The record is from RNAcentral.